RNAcentral lists this transfer RNA (77 nucleotides) under candidate division WWE3 bacterium. RNAcentral's name for it is "tRNA-Ala". It matches the Rfam family "tRNA". From Rfam's summary of the family: Transfer RNA (tRNA) molecules are approximately 80 nucleotides in length. Their secondary structure includes four short double-helical elements and three loops (D, anti-codon, and T loops). The record is from RNAcentral. Lineage: Bacteria; candidate division WWE3.
GGGCUCGUAGCUCAGUUGGCUAGAGCAUCGUCUUUGCAUGGCGGAGGUCGCGGGUUCGAUUCCCGCCGAGUCCACCA